This 495-nucleotide ribosomal RNA is filed under the name uncultured bacterium. RNAcentral describes it as "partial 16S ribosomal RNA". It matches the Rfam family "Bacterial small subunit ribosomal RNA", at positions 28 to 507 of the family's 1533-position model. The record is from RNAcentral.
GACGAACGCUGGCGGCGUGCCUAAUACAUGCAAGUAGAACGCUGAAGGAGGAGCUUGCUUCUCUGGAUGAGUUGCGAACGGGUGAGUAACGCGUAGGUAACCUGCCUGGUAGCGGGGGAUAACUAUUGGAAACGAUAGCUAAUACCGCAUAAGAGUAGAUCUUGCAUGACAUUUGCUUAAAAGGUGCAAUUGCAUCACUACCAGAUGGACCUGCGUUGUAUUAGCUAGUUGGUGGGGUAACGGCUCACCAAGGCGACGAUACAUAGCCGACCUGAGAGGGUGAUCGGCCACACUGGGACUGAGACACGGCCCAGACUCCUACGGGAGGCAGCAGUAGGGAAUCUUCGGCAAUGGACGGAAGUCUGACCGAGCAACGCCGCGUGAGUGAAGAAGGUUUUCGGAUCGUAAAGCUCUGUUGUAAGAGAAGAACGAGUGUGAGAGUGGAAAGUUCACACUGUGACGGUAUCUUACCAGAAAGGGACGGCUAACUACGUG